UACAGAGGGUGCAAGCGUUAAUCGGAAUUACUGGGCGUAAAGCGUGCGUAGACGGUCAUGUAAGUCGGGUGUGAAAGCCCCGGGCUCAACCUGGGAAUUGCAUUCGAGACUGCAUGGCUAGGGUGCGGAAGAGGGAAGCGGAAUUUCCGGUGUAGCGGUGAAAUGCGUAGAUAUCGGAAGGAACACCAGUGGCGAAAGCGGCUUCCUGGUCCAGCACCGACGUUCAGGCACGAAAACGUGGGGAGCAAACAGG
RNAcentral lists this ribosomal RNA (253 nucleotides) under uncultured bacterium. RNAcentral describes it as "partial 16S ribosomal RNA". It matches the Rfam family "Bacterial small subunit ribosomal RNA", at positions 524 to 776 of the family's 1533-position model. The record is from RNAcentral.